GAGAGGACGGGGAUGCCCUAGAUGUGAUAACGGGUAUGUUCCUUAUAUACGAGUUACCUUACACAGCCUUGAUUGAUAUUGGAUCGACACAUUCAUAUGUUGCAUGCAAUAAGACUGAGUCUUUGGGUGAUAUGGUUGAGAUUAUUGCGAAUGAGAUGACUGUGAUAAGUCCGUUAGGGUAGUCUGUAGGAGUGAAUAAGUUGUUUAGGGAGGUACCCUUAGUAGUCUAAUAGGUUACCUUUUUAACGGAUUUGAUAGAGUUGCCG
RNAcentral lists this long non-coding RNA (266 nucleotides) under Gossypium barbadense (sea-island cotton). RNAcentral describes it as "long non-coding RNA (GBAR_LNC003086)". The record is from RNAcentral. Lineage: Eukaryota; Viridiplantae; Streptophyta; Magnoliopsida; Malvales; Malvaceae.